Molecule: ribosomal RNA, 429 nt
Filed under: Actinomycetes bacterium
Lineage: Bacteria; Bacillati; Actinomycetota; Actinomycetes
Description: Actinobacteria bacterium partial 16S ribosomal RNA
Rfam family: Bacterial small subunit ribosomal RNA
Source: RNAcentral
UGGGGAAUUUUGGACAAUGGGCGCAAGCCUGAUCCAGCCAUGCCGCGUGCAGGAUGAAGGCCUUCGGGUUGUAAACUGCUUUUGUACGGAACGAAACGGCUCUUUCUAAUAAAGAGGGCUAAUGACGGUACCGUAAGAAUAAGCACCGGCUAACUACGUGCCAGCAGCCGCGGUAAUACGUAGGGUGCAAGCGUUAAUCGGAAUUACUGGGCGUAAAGCGUGCGCAGGCGGUGAUGUAAGACAGUUGUGAAAUCCCCGGGCUCAACCUGGGAACUGCAUCUGUGACUGCAUCGCUGGAGUACGGCAGAGGGGGAUGGAAUUCCGCGUGUAGAAGUGAAAUGCGUAGAUAUGCGGAGGAACACCAAUGGCGAAGGCAAUCCCCUGGGCCUGUACUGACGCUCAUGAACGAAAGCGUGGGGAGCAAACAGG